CACAGUUCAUGUUCUCCAUGGUGAAUCUGAACCUGAACGUGAACCUCUUCUUCAUGUGAUGGAGACGGUGGAGCAGCCCGAGGUGUGGGCGGAGGCGAUGGCGGUGCUGCUUUUGCCUUAUGGUUCUUGCUUGCGCAAGACUUGGCCAUCCUUAUUUUGCUUAAGAACUUUUUUGCACACUUCAAUGGGGGAUCAUGCACCAAUAAAAGGGGAAAAAAGGAUGAUCAAAGAUUUUGGGACGGAUCAACAAAGAUUAUUCACUAUUACAACUGGAAAAAAAAAUUUAUAGUUUAAUUUGUUAUUGGAAAGUAAAAAGAAAAACAAGGAAAUUUGAACAAAAAAUUAAUUUUUCUGAUUUACCGAGCCAACUACCUCAAUUUAUUACAGAUCCAACUUUAUUCAUUGAUGACAAGGGUGGAUUUCACAAAAGGAAAAAAAAAAAAAGAAAACAAAGAUAAGGGUAGAUUUAUGACGAAACUACAGUUAUUGUGCCAUAGUUUCUAAUCAAGAAGUUCAGCAUAAUUUUAAGUUGAAUUCAAAAUAUUAUAUGCUGCUUAUAAAUAUUUUGAGUGAUGGCAAUUCAAGAAGCAAACAAAAAAGACAAACUUCGUCUUUUUGAAAACUAAGAAAUUUCUGUGAACAGAGAAAAAAAAAGCAUCGAUUCAAUAACGAGCACAUCCAUUUAAAACCAUGCUUAACCAACAUAAAGUCACGUAGAAGAUAGAAUCCUAUUUAUUUACCUUACGAAGAAGUUUGAAGGAGUACUUCAUGGUGGGAUGCCCGGAAGUUCUGGAAGAACCCUUGAAAGAAGAGUUUUCAAG
RNAcentral lists this long non-coding RNA (821 nucleotides) under Coffea arabica (coffee). Its description in RNAcentral is "long non-coding RNA (CARA_LNC007370)". Lineage: Eukaryota; Viridiplantae; Streptophyta; Magnoliopsida; Gentianales; Rubiaceae. The record is from RNAcentral.